Molecule: ribosomal RNA, 492 nt
Filed under: uncultured bacterium
Lineage: Bacteria
Description: partial 16S ribosomal RNA
Rfam family: Bacterial small subunit ribosomal RNA
Source: RNAcentral
AGUGAACGCUGGCGGUAGGCCUAACACAUGCAAGUCGAACGGCAGCACAGUAAGAGCUUGCUCUUACGGGCGGCGAGUGGCGGGCGGGUGAGGAAUACAUCGGAAUCUACUUUUUCGUGGGGGAUAACGUAGGGAAACUUACGCUAAUACCGCAUACGACCUACGGGUGAAAGCAGGGGAUCUUCGGACCUUGCGCGAUUGAAUGAGCCGAUGUCGGAUUAGCUAGUUGGCGGGGUAAAGGCCAACCAAGGCGACGAUCCGUAGCUGGUCUGAGAGGGUGAUCAGACACACUGGAACUGAGACACGUUCCAGACUCCUACAGGAGGCAGCAGUGGGGAAUAUUGGACAAUGGGCGCAAGCCUGAUCCAGCCAUACCGCGUGGGUGAAGAAGGCCUUCGGGUUGUUAAGCCCUUUUGUUGGGAAAGAAAAGCAGCAGGUUAAUACCCCGCUGUUCUGACGGUACCCAAAGAAUAAGCACCGGCUAACUUCGUG